AUAUACAAAACCUAGAAGCACCUUAUAUUUUGUAUGUCAGAGAUCCUUCUAACAUAACUUUAGUUUUGUGGAUGAUAAUAUCCUAAGAAAUACUGAAAUAUUACCUCUUUGUUCUUAUACAGGCUUUUCAGAAUUACAUUUGCAAUUCAUUGGGUUUACAUUUACAGUGGAAAAUUAUUCUUCUAAUUGGGGAUUUCUGAUUAUCUUGAAGCUGUUUAAUAAUAAAUGCAUUAACCAUAGGUGAUGAUGUGCAGCAGGAUUCAGGGAACAUUCUCUAUAGAUGCAAAUUUCCCCCACUAAAGUUAGCUUUUCAAGGCCACUUCAGUUUACUGGCUCUCUGACAACCAUCUUAAAAUAUGUCAAAGAACUAUCUUCCCCUUGAGGUAAAAUAUUUUGAUUUACUUCACUUGCAAAUUGAAUUUUAUGAAAGACGGGUGUGAAGACAAGUACAAGAGAAACUGGAACUGAGUAGGAAGUUACAAGAAAGCACACAAAUUCUACAGUCCCUUCAUUUUUCUCUUUGUGCCAUAAAAAUUGAAACCAACAUAAAGAAAUCAAACAUUUGAAUGAAGAAAGUGUGCAUUUCAAUAGUAAAUAUCUCAUUCAAAUAUACUCAAGUGAUAACUUGAUACAUUGAUACUUUACUAAAAGAAUGAUGAUUCCACACCCAGACUUGAGAGGACUAGAAAACCAGUGCUGCAUCAUGAGUCAGGAAAAUAAAGAUUUUUAUAAGCAACUGGUUGAAACUUCAGAGAGGACAAAAUUGUAGGCCAAAAAUACAGAGUUUCCCAUCAGUAAUAAAAGCCAGCCCUGCAAGAAUUCUCAGAGAUUAAAGCAUGUUUGGAAUACAGAAACAGAAAAUUUCCUGAACAUUUAGUGACAAAUAGGAAAAGAUGAAAGUGGCCAUGCAGAAAAGUGACUCCAUGGAAUAGUAAAUCUCCAAACCUUAGAUGUUCAGCAAAGAGAUGAAAACUUAGCUUGAGGAUACCAUUGAUAAGGCUUCAAAGCAACACACACUUUGUGAAUGCACAUAGCACUUCUCCAAACGAAUAGAAGUGAGCUUUGAGGUCCUUAUACGAUGAAGCUAGGAAAAUUGCCACUUUAGGGUAUCAGCAAGAGAUUUCUAAAUUAAAUCUGAACUUGAGAAGAAAGUAUUAUUUUGCAAAGAGGAAUGCGAGGUUCGAAGAAAAGAAAAUAAAUUAACUGGUGAAAAUGAAAGGCUUUUUUCUGUUGUGGAUAGCUUAGCAGCUCAAAAUAGACAAUGUGAAAAUGAGCUUGAGAUUUUGUCAUUAAGAGUAGGUUGCCUUCUGGAAAACUUAAAUUGCAGAAACCAUGCAUUAGAUCAGCAAUGAGAAAGAUUUUCUGGAGUGUUUUCAAGCUACUGUUUCUAAGAAGACCAAAGAGUUUGAGAUUUUGAGAAGUUCUGACACAGAAUCAAGAAUGCUGGAUCCACUUUUGAAAUCUCAUUAUAGUUAUUACCUGGGCAAGUCUUUAAGGAUUGCAAUCUCUCUUUAGAAAGCCAGGCAGGCCAAACAACUUGUUCAAGAAUUGAGAAGUCUAAGGCUUAAUUUGCCUGAAGGAAAAUCCAUCCAGCUGGCAUUGUUGUGAGCCAAUCUUGUAUCUUAGAGAUAAAGAUAUUUUGAUGAGCUCUGUCUUAGCUUCAGAUGUUAUACAUGCUAUGAGCAAAGAUAGUUUUUGUAUAUUCAGGGUGACAGCUUAUCUCUUACAUGUACCUUGAAGGCCAGUUCUGUUGGUCUUCUACUAAUUCUACUACUAGUUCCAACAGAAAAUGACAAUGAAAAGAAUAAGAUGGCCAGGAUUCUGGAAGGAUUUAAAUCUGUCCUACAUAAAAACAGACUGAAAAUCAAUCUGUGUAUUUUCCACCGGAAGCCUAAGACAGGAUGUUGGCUAUUAUUAAAGCAAUUCUUACAGCUGUUGCUGAAAAUCAUGUUAGAGUCCAGUUGGUUUAAAAGAAGGGCUGUACAUUACAGAGAUUACUUGUGAUGAGCUCAUUCUAGCUACUGUUUGUAAGAAACUGUAUCAUAUUGAAUGUGUUCCCAAAGGGAAAAUUACAGUCUUUGUCUGUUACUGGAAUCACGGUGUUCCCAGGAACAUGCUCUAUUUUAUCCAUGUUCUUUCUUUGAAUGAGUGGAAGGGAGAUUUGGCAUCAAGUUCCCAGAAAAAAUAAAAAAGGUCGCCUACUCAUAAUAACUUCAACAAUUAGGAAGGGCUCUUCAGCUAGUCUGUUUGUAGCAGUGGACUGAUCCUUUGCUAAGAGAGACAUAGAACUAAACUUUCUCACAGAAAUUUCAAUGAACCUAUGGCUCAGGAACUGUACAGUAGAUAACAAUCUUCAAGGAAAAGCUGUGUUGGCUGCCUUUCUCGAUUCUUUCUGUUGAGCAACCAUGAAGAUGUCUAACCCUGGCAUAUACCAAUGACCUCUCACUUACAUUUUUCUCACAGCAGUCUUUCGAGGCCCUUUCUUCUGUGGAAUUCAAUCACGCAGAAUAUAUGUUUUGCUUCAGCCACAUGGGAUUGGAUAUGGACUCACAGUAUGAAAGGUUAUGUGUGCAGGAGCUAAUAUGGCCUGUAACUCCUGUUCCCAAUUGUUAUAGCUCUCUGCAUGUCAUAGUAUGAAGUGAGUAUGGCAUCAAUACACCACAAGGAUGAUAAGACUGUGGAAUGGGUUCAAACCACCAGCCUGAGGAGCAUAAGAACACUAAAUCUGAAUGCACCUUCAACCUUUUCAACUCUGAGCUUCCAUGCUUAAUCUAAGAACAAGUUCUCUGGAGAAGUUCUAGUAUGCCAGACACUUGAAAAUGUGAUUUGUUUUUAAGAGUCUGGAGCAGGAGAGAUUACAACACCUGUAAGAGAUUCUAAGAGCCAAGAAUGAGCUUCAAAAUUAUACCAACCCAACCAAUUUCAACCAUGUGGUUCACCCUGCCUGGAGAUGGAAUGUAUGAUGUCGUGGCUCUCACUCUAA
This 2983-nucleotide long non-coding RNA is filed under the name Homo sapiens (human). Its description in RNAcentral is "non-protein coding lnc-MAGEB16-2:1". The record is from RNAcentral. Lineage: Eukaryota; Metazoa; Chordata; Mammalia; Primates; Hominidae.